GCCGAGGAAGGCAGAGGGGCGGGGCCCGCGGCUGUGGAGACCGCAGGGAGGGUCCGCUGGAGCCCGGCGCCGGCCUCAUGGGGGGCGCGUCCCGCAUUUUUUUACCUACUUUGGUGCGAUUCCCGCCAGCCUCCAAUGAUUGGCCCAGCCCCGGCACGUCAGGCCCUCGGGCGAGGGGUAAAGUCUGCGCAUUUUUCCUCCUUCCCAAGGCGACUGUGGCAGCCCUGAGUUCUCUGAGUCACCGCUAAUUUCAGAUUUAGGCAUUGGAAGGACUGACGCUGAAACUGAAACUCCAAUACCUUGGCUGCCUGAUGCGAAGAACCGACUCUUGGAAAAGACCCUGAUGCUGGGAAAGAUUGAAGGCAGGAGGAGAGGGGGACGACAGAGCAUGAAAUAGUUGGAUGGCAUCACCAAUGUGAUGGACAUGAGUUUGAGUAGGUGCCGGGAGUUGGUGAUGGACAGGGAAGCCUGGCGUGCUGCAGUCCAUGGGGUUGCAAAGAGUUGGACACAACUGAGCAGCUGAACUGAAACGGAUGCAUUCAAGGCUGGGAUGAGAUGCUGUGUCCUCAGACAAACCGCAAUACUCUUGGGAGUGAAAGAGGGAGCCACCUAUACUCACACUGUGAUAGAGGGGGUAAAUGUGGAUGGUCUCAGGUGAACUGGGAGGCACAGUGACCCUUGUUCUGUAAGUGACUAUUCCCCUUUACCAUACUGGGGCCAGAUGGGUUUGCUGGCUGAGCUCCUACCACCCACAGCUGCUUCAUCUGGCCACCGUCCUGCCCUUGGCUAUGCCCAGCCACCUUGAAGUCAAGACAUCUCUUGUUCAAAUUUACCUGGAGUAACUUUCAGGUCUCCUGUCAUGAUGAAGAUUGGUUGGUUGCCUGGCUGUGCAGGAUAGAGUGUGAGAUCUGAAAUGCUAACUGCUCCCGUGCAGACUCUCAGGCAACCCUCUUGUGUUUCAGCUCUACUGUGACAGAGAUGAACAAACCUGAUUCCAUGUUGGGUCUGUUCCUCUAGCCGUAACCAUUGUGCCCUGUCACCUGUGCUAACUUCUCCGGGGUCUGCACCUUCUGUCAAAGCGUGCUGCCUAUAGUCUGGAAUGUACUUGAAAGUCCUUUCUCAGAGCUCUGACCUUUAAAGGGGUAACACUUUUCCAUUUGUAUAGAGAUAAAAAGUUGCAGAAUAGAGAAUAACACUUGUCUUAUUGGAGGUUUAUAGGAACAUUGUGACCAGAUGUACCUGGACAGCUGCUGGAACAAAGGAUUCCUGCACCAAGAAGUCUGCAACAACCAGCCACACCCCCCUCCCUUCUUAGUAUAAAAAUGGCCUGAAUUCUAACUCAAAGAAGAUGGUUCUUUGGGACACAAGUCCACCAUCUUCUCAGUCUCUGUUCCUUGCCCUGACAACUCAUCUCUCCAGUUAUUGACCUGUCAUGUGGCAAGGAGUACGAACUUGGACUGGCAAACACUACCCUUCACCUCCAUCUUCUCCUGUAUCUGCUACGUAGGAUUCCUAAAAUUUUCUGAGAUCCUCUUGCGUGAACCAGCUUUCUUCUCCCACCCCCGGAGACAGUCCCGGAGACAGUUGGGUUUCAGCUUUCUCCACAGCACCACAUCA
Bos taurus (domestic cattle) is the source of this 1617-nucleotide long non-coding RNA. The record is from Ensembl. NCBI's taxonomy places the organism in Eukaryota, Metazoa, Chordata, Mammalia, Artiodactyla, Bovidae.